GAUGAAGAACGCAGCGAAAUGCGAUAAGUAAUGUGAAUUGCAGAAUUCAGUGAAUCAUCGAAUCUUUGAACGCACAUUGCGCCCGCCGGUAUUCCGACGGGCAUGCCUGUUCGAGCGUCAGUGGAAAAACUCAAGCCUCGCUUGGUGUUGGGCCUCGUCGACACCCCGACGGGCCUCGAACGUCCGGCGACCGUGGAAUCGUACCCCAGAGCGCUGUCGGAGAGAUCUUGAAGCGUUCGCUCGUGGGUCGCACCUGGCGGUCCGCCUGGGUGGGGCACUUCCCACCCGCGUGCAUCACAGUUUGACCUCGGAUCAGGUAGGGAUACCCGCUGAACUUAAGCAUAUCAAUAAGCGGAGGA
Molecule: unclassified non-coding RNA, 359 nt
Filed under: soil metagenome
Description: partial contains 5.8S ribosomal RNA, internal transcribed spacer 2, and large subunit ribosomal RNA
Rfam family: 5.8S ribosomal RNA (bases 1-120)
Source: RNAcentral